Molecule: small RNA, 81 nt
Filed under: Flavobacterium urumqiense
Lineage: Bacteria; Pseudomonadati; Bacteroidota; Flavobacteriia; Flavobacteriales; Flavobacteriaceae
Description: Flavo-1 RNA
Rfam family: Flavo-1 RNA
Source: RNAcentral
UCCUAGCCCAGAUAGCAGUGGAAAUCCUUUUAUACGCCUUUUGAGCGGAUACAAAGAUUGCAACGAAUAGCUGGAAAUAGC